AUGUACCAUGACUCGUACAGCUGCGGCUCCUCCGCGCCGUCCGCACCCACCUGACGAGCGCUCGCUACGUUUUGUUAGCG
RNAcentral lists this small RNA (80 nucleotides) under Xanthomonas fragariae. RNAcentral's name for it is "sX9 sRNA". It matches the Rfam family "Xanthomonas sRNA sX9". Lineage: Bacteria; Pseudomonadati; Pseudomonadota; Gammaproteobacteria; Lysobacterales; Lysobacteraceae. The record is from RNAcentral.